Molecule: ribosomal RNA, 456 nt
Filed under: Triticum aestivum (bread wheat)
Lineage: Eukaryota; Viridiplantae; Streptophyta; Magnoliopsida; Poales; Poaceae
Description: partial small subunit ribosomal RNA
Source: RNAcentral
GAGGAGUUGGUCGAGAAAAUCAUUACACACCAGGAGGAACAUGCUAAAGACUGGUUAUUUGCUCUACAUGAAAUAUUAGAACCGCAUGAUUUCGUUCGUGUUGUGGUAACUUUAUGGGCGAUCUGGGCUUCACGAAGAAAGGCGAUUCAUGAGGAUAUUUUUCAGUCUCCACAUGCUACAUCAGCUUUCAUCAAUAAGUUUCUGUCAGAGUUGGAGAUAGUAAAUAAAAGGGAGACGCAUGCGGUACCAGGGAGAGUCAUGCGGAGUGCAACAUGGGUGCCGCCAAUCCAAGGAUGUGUCAAGAUCAAUGUUGACGGGGCAGUGGCCGUGAGAAGGAAGCAUGGUUCUGUCGGAGUGAUAUGCAGAGACCAGCAGGGCAACUUUCUGGGGGCUUCAGCGAUCAUCUUCAAGCACAUCACAGAACCUCAAACGUUGGAAGCCCUAGCUAUAAGAUAA